GAGUUUGAUCCUGGCUCAGAACGAACGCUGGCGGCAGGCUUAACACAUGCAAGUCGAACGCAUCCUUCGGGGUGAGUGGCAGACGGGUGAGUAACGCGUGGGAACGUGCCCUUCAGUUCGGAAUAACCCAGGGAAACUUGGGCUAAUACCGGAUACGUGCGAGAGCAGAAAGAUUUAUCGCUGAAGGAUCGGCCCGCGUCUGAUUAGCUAGUUGGUGGGGUAAUGGCCCACCAAGGCGACGAUCAGUAGCUGGUCUGAGAGGAUGAUCAGCCACAUUGGGACUGAGACACGGCCCAAACUCCUACGGGAAGCAGCAGUGGGGAAUAUUGGACAAUGGGCGCAAGCCUGAUCCAGCCAUGCCGCGUGAGUGAUGAAGGCCUUAGGGUUGUAAAGCUCUUUCAGCGGGGACGAUAAUGACGGUACCCGCAGAAGAAGCCCCGGCUAACUUCGUGCCAGCAGCCGCGGUAAUACGAAGGGGGCUAGCGUUGUUCGGAAUCACUGGGCGUAAAGGGCGCGUAGGCGGCUUUGUAAGUCGGGGGUGAAAGCCUGUGGCUCAACCACAGAAUUGCCUUCGAUACUGCAUGGCUUGAGACCGGAAGAGGUAAGUGGAACUGCGAGUGUAGAGGUGAAAUUCGUAGAUAUUCGCAAGAACACCAGUGGCGAAGGCGGCUUACUGGUCCGGUUCUGACGCUGAGGCGCGA
This 701-nucleotide ribosomal RNA is filed under the name uncultured bacterium. Its description in RNAcentral is "bacterial SSU rRNA". It matches the Rfam family "Bacterial small subunit ribosomal RNA", at positions 9 to 756 of the family's 1533-position model. The record is from RNAcentral.